GACGAACGCUGGCGGCGUGCUUAACACAUGCAAGUCGAACGGAAAGGCCCUGCUUUUGUGGGGUGCUCGAGUGGCGAACGGGUGAGUAACACGUGAGUAACCUGCCCUUGACUUUGGGAUAACUUCAGGAAACUGGGGCUAAUACCGGAUAGGAGCUCCUGCUGCAUGGUGGGGGUUGGAAAGUUUCGGCGGUUGGGGAUGGACUCGCGGCUUAUCAGCUUGUUGGUGGGGUAGUGGCUUACCAAGGCUUUGACGGGUAGCCGGCCUGAGAGGGUGACCGGCUCCACUGGGACUGAGCUACGGCACAGACUCCUACGGGAGGCAGCGGUGGGGAAUAUUGCACAAUGGGCGGAGGCAUGAUGCAGCAAAGCAGCGUGGGGGAUAACGGCCUUCGGGUUGUAAACCGCUUUGGCCUGAGACGAGGCGUGUGUGACGGUAAUGGGUGAAGAAGCAACGGCUAACUACGUG
This 468-nucleotide ribosomal RNA is filed under the name uncultured bacterium. RNAcentral's name for it is "partial 16S ribosomal RNA". It matches the Rfam family "Bacterial small subunit ribosomal RNA", at positions 28 to 507 of the family's 1533-position model. The record is from RNAcentral.